This 264-nucleotide ribosomal RNA is filed under the name Madagascaria erythrocladioides. RNAcentral's name for it is "partial Bacterial small subunit ribosomal RNA". It matches the Rfam family "Bacterial small subunit ribosomal RNA", at positions 34 to 274 of the family's 1533-position model. Lineage: Eukaryota; Rhodophyta; Compsopogonophyceae; Erythropeltidales; Erythrotrichiaceae. The record is from RNAcentral.
CGCUGGCGGCGUGGAUUAGGCAUGCAAGUCGAGCGAGAACCGUUGUCAUAGCAAUAUGGCAUGGGGACAGCGGCGAAAGGGUGAGUAAUGCAUAGACAACCUACCUCUCUAUCUGGGAUAACCUCGGGAAGCUGGGACUAAUACCGGAUAGCCUUGUGGGGCCGCAUGGCCACUGCAAGUAAAGAUAGCCUCUCAGUGAAGCUUUCGUAGAGAGAGGGGUCUAUGUCCUAUUAGCUAGUUGGUGAGGUAACGGCUCACCAAGGC